This 228-nucleotide long non-coding RNA is filed under the name Elaeis guineensis (African oil palm). RNAcentral describes it as "long non-coding RNA (EGUI_LNC081545)". Lineage: Eukaryota; Viridiplantae; Streptophyta; Magnoliopsida; Arecales; Arecaceae. The record is from RNAcentral.
GGGGCAAGUUUCUCUUGGUUUUAAGGUUGUGAAACAGUGGCUCGCCGAAGUACUAAGUCCCCCACUCUGAAGGCUUUGCUCUUGACCCGGGAGUUGUAGUAGCGGGAUGCUUUCUGCUUGUAGGCUGCCAUCCAAACUUGAGCUGUCUCCCACUUUUCUUCUAGCAAGUCGAGGUUGGCCUUGAGAUCCUGUGAGUUGUGUUGCUCGUCGAAUGCCACGACUCGCACC